Molecule: ribosomal RNA, 499 nt
Filed under: uncultured bacterium
Lineage: Bacteria
Description: partial 16S ribosomal RNA
Rfam family: Bacterial small subunit ribosomal RNA
Source: RNAcentral
AUUGAACGCUGGCGGCAGGCUUAACACAUGCAAGUCGAGCGGGGGAAGGUAGCUUGCUACCGGACCUAGCGGCGGACGGGUGAGUAAUGCUUAGGAAUCUGCCUAUUAGUGGGGGACAACAUCUCGAAAGGGAUGCUAAUACCGCAUACGUCCUACGGGAGAAAGCAGGGGAUCUUCGGACCUUGCGCUAAUAGAUGAGCCUAAGUCGGAUUAGCUAGUUGGUGGGGUAAAGGCCUACCAAGGCGACGAGCUGUAGCGGGUCUGAGAGGAUGAUCCGCACACUGGGACUGAGACACGGCCCAGACUCCUACGGGAGGCAGCAGUUGGGAAUAUUGGACAAUGGGGGGAACCCUGAUCCAGCCAUGCCGCGUGUGUGAAGAAGGCCUUAUGGUUGUAAGCACUUUAAGCGAGGAGGAGGCUACUCUAGUUAAUACCUAGGGAUAGUGGACGUUACUCGCAGAAUAAGCACCGGCUAACUCUGUGCCAGCAGCCGCAGUAA